This 233-nucleotide ribosomal RNA is filed under the name uncultured bacterium. RNAcentral's name for it is "partial 16S ribosomal RNA". It matches the Rfam family "Bacterial small subunit ribosomal RNA", at positions 99 to 334 of the family's 1533-position model. The record is from RNAcentral.
CGGACGGGUGGGUAAUGUCUGGGAAACGUGCCUGAUGAGGGGGAGUAACUACUGGAAACGGUAGCUAAUACCGCAUAACGUCGCAAGACCAAAGAGGGGGACCUUCGGGCCUCUUGCCAUCGGAUGUGCCCAGAUGGGAUUAGCUAGUAGGUGGGGUAAAGGCUCACCUAGGCGACGAUCCCUAGCUGGUCUGAGAGGAUGACCAGCCACACUGGAACUGAGACACGGUCCAG